Molecule: non-coding RNA, 347 nt
Organism: Leptonychotes weddellii (Weddell seal)
Lineage: Eukaryota; Metazoa; Chordata; Mammalia; Carnivora; Phocidae
Source: RefSeq, a predicted model, not a curated record
UUCAGGGCGGAGGGUGAGGCUCAAAUCUCUUGAAUCUGAAUCUAUCCCGCGGCCUCCUCAUCUUUCCCAGUUUGGAGAGUCCUCUACCAAAAUUGCAAGAUCUGGAGAGAGUGCCCGCCAACACCAUUUGGAAUUAACAUUCUGUGAGCAAGGACAGCCAGCAAGAAAGAGGCUUGUAUGAAUAUCCUUAGCAUUUCCUAGCCAGCUUCAUAAUCCCUUUAAAGCUGAUUCUUGCACAUCUUGCAGGAAAGGCUCAGUGACACCUAUGUGAUGGUUUUCCUGUGACAGACCACUGCCAUCCUCCUAGGCUUCAGGCCCCCAGAGCCCUCUGACUCAGCUGCUGCAAA